UCGAAAGAAAUCCUCUCAAUAAAUUCAAUAUAAUCCAUCGACAAACAAAACGAAAACAUAUCGAAAUUAAAUUAAAUUGCACUCUAUUUAUUUAUCAUUUACAGAAACGAUCGCCUUUUGCUAAUCACACAAAGAGAAGAAAAAAAGCUUUGACGUCGUUUGCUCGACUUUAACAUAAUUAUUUGAGUGGAUCCUCGUUAUACAGUAAUUCUCCGUUCAACCCGAGUCACGUUGCAUCGUCAUUUUUAUUUUCCUUUAUUUUUCUCUUUCCAAAACUAUCUUCUCGAAGAUUGGAACGAGAAUAUUUCGCGUAUUUGUUCCUCGUCACUCAUCCUUUAUUUGACUUAAUUAGUAAUUAUAUUCCAUCGACGAGUGGAAUUAAUUUGAUUUAAAAUAACGAGAUUAAUAUCGUUAAUGAAUUUAAAUACGAUAACAAAAUGUUGUAUACUGGCGAUGAAAAACUAUAUGAUGAAAAAGGUGAAAUGUUUCGUGGAAUUUGUGGUCUAUGAUCUAAUUUAAAUCAAUCGUUUUCUAUAUUCGAUUUCGUUUAUAUAUUUAAAAGGUUCUUUUAGUUUUAGAUUUCGUUCUCUUAGGCGCGAGGCUCGUAAUUUCGAGCAUUUGUUUUAUUUCCACGAUUUUCUAUUAUUCUCGAAAUUCAAAGAUAUUUCAAUUAGCGUUUCGAUUAAUUGGCCUCUUUCGUUGAUUUGUUGUUUGAGAUGUUUUAAUUAGAAUGUGGAAUUUCACGAUUUUUUUCAGUAAAAAAUGUGAGAGAUAUAACAAUUAUUCGUGAUAAUAAUUUGUUUAUGACGAAAUUUUUAAGAUUUGUAAUCAAAUAGAUGAUUAUUAAUCAUACUCAAUUUCUCCUCAAUUAAAAGAUUAUUUUCUCAUAUCCGAGAAUUUACGUUUAUCAGAUUAUUAAAUGCAAGAUUAAACUCGUAUGAAAACUCAAACUUAGAAGAGGAUGAUUUUAUUUAUUCAAACGAAACUUUCUUCGAAACUUAAAGAACGCUUAAAACGAAUCGAUAUUUGUAGAACAGAAAAAGAAGAACGUUAAUCUACUUUCCAAGAAAGGUAUAAUGUGACAUCGUAACAUAUAGGAAAACGCUUACGUGCACGCACGUAUAUGUAUAUGUACGUAGUGCAACCAGUUAUACAGUUUGUGAUGUAAAUAUGUAUAUUUACUUGUCUAGCUUCGAUUUUCCGUUCGAUCACCCUUUUUCGUGCUUGUUCCUUUCGGAUUUGAACGUGUCUCAGAAGUCAAAAGCAAUUUUGUCGUUUGACACCGAACACGUAGGCUCCUCGGAUUUCCCUUUGACUAAACGCUAUCCCUCGAGCUUCCUUGAAUUCUUCGGAUCCUUUAGCUUUUAGAGAGCUUAUUAAACGAAAAUUCGUAAGCUCUUUUAAAAAAAAGCUUUAACUCGUUCGAUAAUAAUUUUUUAAUUCGAUUAAAAUAGGAAUACUUUUUCGAGUAUUGUUCGACAAUUUUUAUUUUUAUUUCUACUCGAUUUGUUAUUCAAUAUUUUUAUGUAAUAUUUAAUUUAUACUUUAGGCGACAAGUAUAUACAAAUAAAGCGAUUCCAAUUGAAUAUCUCGGGAAAAUUGAAGAAAUUCGUGUCAACGUGUGUGGAAAAUAGAUCGUGAGAAAUAAUAUCGACGUAAUUUCCUGUCGAAGGAGAAGCAAUAAUGCUUAGUCGUGUGCGAUGAAGAAGAAUCUUGAUUGGGUUGGGACGGAGGGGAAUGGGCUGGGGCAAGAUUUAAUACGACGAUAAUAAUUACGAGUAAUACUUGAUAGAAAAAGUAGCGAUUCAAAUACUUUUGAGAUUAAUUUCAGAUCCUUCCAUCUCGUUGAUUGUGAGAACCGAAGGUUUCUAAAAUUUAAAAAAUUUUACAUCAUCGAAUAUUUCACGGAUAAUGGAAAAUCAUGGUUGAAGAAACGAUUAUUUUUAAAUCGUAAUAUCAUUAUAUAAUUUUUAAAUAGAUUUUAGUAGAUAAGCCCUAUCAAAUCCGUGGAAUAGCGAAUAUAUCUCGCGAGGCAUUAAGGGGAAUCGAUAAUUUUAUCGGUUGCUGGGAAUUUGAAAUCAAGGCGGACAUCGAUUUCUGCGAUGUCGAGCCGGUGUAACAGAUUAAAUCCUAUCAUUUGUAUCGGUGUUGGGCCACGAAACGAAUUGUCGAGGCGUGCUCUGAGCUAUCCUACCUCGGAUAGGUUCCAGUGUAUUCAGAUUUCGACGUGUCCAAAUUUGUCGCGUUGAAUUGCGUCGAUGAUAUAUCGAAGAUAAUUUGUCGCGUGUUUCUUCAACGAUAUCGAUUUUCUUUUUCGAAGAAAUGGAUAUUUAUAAUGUUUCGAAUCGAAUAAAUUUAAUAAUAUCCUCGUUUCGAUACGUAGUUUUCGAAAAUUGAAAAUAGAAAUCACGUUAUCUUGUUCGAUUCAUCGAUUGAACUCUUGAACGUUUUCUCUUUCGCGGAAAACUCAAUUUGCCUUGCGCGUUAUAUCGAAGAAAGAGAUUGCGUCGAAAGAAAGAAAGAAAGAGAUUUUGUCUUUGUCUCCCUGUUCUUGCGCGAGAUGUGAUAAUGAAAAAAUUCUAUUGACACUGUAACACCGAUAUCGUUUUCUUUUUAUUUCCACUCCCUUCACUGCAAGCAAAUUUUAUUCACGAGUUUCAAUUACUUUAUCGUUCUACUAAUAACAAAUUUUAUUUCAAAGAGAAUUGACAAGUAAUCGUGCCGUACACUUUUUUAACACUCGCCCGAUCUUCUUUAUUUCAACAUAUUUUGCUACAAAAUUAAUACUCUCUCUAAAUAUAUGUUAUAAACAAAAUAAAGUAUGAUACAGCGCAAUAAAUAAAACGACACAACUUCACACAAUUCACAGCCUACUAAAAAAAAAGAAAAAAAUAAUGAAAGAAAAAAAAGCAAUUUAUUUCGUCUCACCCGAUUGGUCACGGGUCGUCAAUCAAUAGAAACGAAUUUCCCACCGAUUAAAACGGCGGCCAACAGGGACUUGUAAUUUUUCCUUUCCCCGCUAUAUUUGGAAGAAUCCCUGGAAUCGCUUCGGUGUUAACCUGACCUUAAACUUCGUCGAGCGGAUUCGCAAAGGUCGGGAAACACGAACGGGAUCCAUUCUCUUCUUAAAUUCUCUCCCCUCCCCCUCCCCUCGUGCGAGUUAAGUUUGUUCGGAAAAAGACGAGAGAGAGAAAGAGAGAGAGAGAGAGAAAGAGAGAGAGAGCGUCGAAUCAAUUCAAAAGUCCUGCAAUAUCAAACUUUCCAGUUGAAAAGUUACGUUUCAGACGUAAGGGGUAGGGAGCACUUGGGAGGCUGGAACGCGCAUAAGAGAGGAAGAAAAAACAGAAAAUCAUUAAAAAAGUUAGCGGCCGAAAGUGGGGCACGAUGUGUGCUUCACAUUUCAGGUGUACAAGAGAGUGCACACGAUCGAUGAAUGGGUGAAAAUUUUCGGUGACAUUCAUUCCGAGAGAGCUUUUAAUCCGAGCCUCAAACACGCUCGACCAAAGUUCAAGGGCUACUUCCAACGAGGGCUUUUUUACGGUUCUGAAUUCUCGUAAGGUUUAAGAAGAAUUGUGUCCCGCCACGGCCCGUGGUUAAUUAACACUCGAAGCGAGUGAUUUUGUUCGAAUAUCGUGGAUUAAUGAAAAUUAGCGACGUAUAUAUAUAUUUCACCAUUUUUCUCCAUAUAUUGAUUUAGAGAUAUGGAUUUUUAUACAAGCGAAAGGUAUUCAACUAAUACAUAAAAAAUUUAUAUCACGUCGUAACGAUAAUUGGAUUUUUAUGCAAAAAUCAUGAGGAGAGAGUAAAAAUUUUCUCGUUAAAACGUGGCCAGAAAAUGCGGUAGAUCGUACCAUUGAUAUCACUUUUUGUUUUAUCCCGAUAUCUCGAUCGGUUGCCGAGAUACGAGGAUUCAAAGUUUUCACAACAUAACGCUCAACGUAACGCAGAGAUUAUGAAUGGAACUGGUGAUCCAGUGACCUACAUAUUUUUCCUGGAAACGCGUAUUACGUUCUUCUAGGAAUCGCGUAUGUUGGGAUAGGUCAGUGAAACGAGGUGCGAGCGAGAGGUCUGAGUAAGCGACAAAGACGGCGAGAGUAUACGAUUAAAAAUUACCUUCUUCUUUACACGACGAUAUCUCCGGAACGGGAAGUCGUAUCGGGAUGAAUGAAAAAGCGUUUUAAAGAGGAAGAUUUCACGCUUCCAACGAUCGUUUACCCACCGACGGGAAGUCAGUAUCUUCGGAGUUAUAGCGGUUUAAAGUUUUUGUAAUUUUUAAUACAAGUUUAUUCCAGUUUUAAGGUAAAUUACGUAUGAAAACUGUUGCUUAUCUUAUUAAUAAUGUGUUAAAAUUACAGAUAAGUUAAAGAUAAAUAUAUAUUUGCUGGUAAUAUCAAAUGUAAAGAAAAUAGGCCUAUUUUUAAUCAUAAAGAAUCAGCUCGAGGGCAUUAUUACACAAGAGGAUAAUUUCGCAAUGGUCAAUUUCUGUUUUUGAAUGGUACCACUUUUCUUCCUUGUCUAUAUGCAUCUUAAUUACGAGCUUCGUAAUAGUUUCAAGGUUAAAAAUUUAAUAAGUCAAUGCAUUUAAGUGGUAAAGUAUAGGUAAGAAAACCAAUCGAGUAUCUAUAGCACACUUUCUUUUUCAGAUUCUCUUUCAAUCGUAUGCAUAUAUAAAUUUUACACAGAAUACGCUCAUUUAAUUUCUUCAAUACAAUCUGAAUUUUAAGCUUUCAAUCGAAAAAGGAUUUUGGUGUUUUGUAAAUAUGAAAUAGAAUAAAAAUAUAGGAAGAGAUAUUUUAAAAUAGUGGCUAAUGAUUAAAAAUUUUUUUAAAUUUUUAAAUUUUAACACAAAUACUUAUUAUUUUAUACUUGUUAUUUUUCUUGAAAUAUUUUCCUCUAUAUCGUUCCAUAAAAUCUUUCAUAUAAGAUUGAACGUUUUUUAUUAAAAUAUAGAUUUAACAAUCUUAUUACUUUUAUUAUUCUUAUUAACAUUUCUUCACAUUAAAAUUCAAAUAUUAUGCGCAGAAACGUGGUCGACCGUAAUCGAGAUAGAAACGCGGAAAAAUUCAUUUUAUGUCACUUGAAAGUACGCCAAGAAACUGCUACAAUUUCAAAAUUUACGGGCACUUGCUGCAUGAAUAUAUGAAAAACGGAAGUAUUAUAUUAUACAAUUAUUUUUAUAUAUCGUUUUAAAUGUUUAAAUUCCUUAAAAUUGAAUUAUUUUUCUUACAACAAUAGUUUCGAGUAAAGAAAGGAAUAAAAUUUAUACGUUCUCAUGAGUGAUUAAUAUUACAUUAGGUUGCCAACUAUCGAUCAUUUCUAAGCCUGUUGUUAAUUAAAUAUGAAAGGAACAUUUAUCAAUGUCACGAAUUAAUUACAUUAAAAAUGUAAACUACUUUUUAAAAGAAUAACAAACAUGUAGCAAAUUUUCAUACGCAAUACUUUUUAGUAUAAAACAUCCAUCAAUAAUUAAUCAAAUAUACACUAUAUAUAUAUACACUAACUUCCAUUCCAAAAAAAAGAAAAAGAAAAAAACGUACACAGAGUUUAAUUAAUAAUUCAGAAAUGCUAUCAUACCCUUGCUGUCGAGCAAAACAUUCUCCCUGCAAGCAUCGAUGCAACAUGCAGACGGAGAUGCACGAACAUCGUGCAAAUUCUCGAAAGGAAAAAAUGCGUAUAUUAUGUAUCACCCGGAUGAUUCCUCCGAAAAGAACACAAUAAUGGAGAAGCGAUUCCACCCCAAGAUUUAUGCGUUUUCACGGUGACGUGAACGUGACUCGAGUUUUGCAUAUCGAUCCCAUCUAACUCGUCCCAAUCGUGGGAAAGAAAGGAUCGAAUAAAAAAGGGGAAAGAUUCCAACGACGUUUUGUUUUUUUAAACGAUACGAGGUGGAACGAAAAUUUCGACGGUCGAAAGAGGAAAAAGGAGGGAAAAAAGAAGUAAGAAAUGCAUUUCUAUGGAACGAGAAGAGGGGAGAGUCACACCUUCUCGUCGUGGAGACACGAUAUAGGUCAACUCGAGGAAGAAAAGGGGUUGCAGGUGCUACAUAUUCACUUAGAGAGAAAGGCUGGGAUGGGGCCGAUGAAAGGUCGUCUCACCUUUGGUAAGCAACCUGAGAAAUUCGUGUCAACGUGUGUGGAAAAUAGAGCAGAAACAAUAUCGAUUCGAGGAGGAACGAUCGUGGCUGGUGAAGAAUGAGGAAGAAUCUCGAGGAGAGGAGAGGGGUGGUAAUUUGCUGUUACGAGUGAUGCUCGAAGCAAUGGAUGGUUCGAAUACUUGGAGAGAAAUUUUUAUCCAUCCUCGAGAUGUAUUGCGCGAAAAAUCCUCUAACGAGUUAUAUUUUGUAUUUUUCAGAUUGGUUCAGCAAAAUCUGAAAAACGAUGGGAAAGAUAGCCUUGUUUUCGAAGUAUAAGUAACAAAUAUUCUUCGUGGGUUAAUAUUGCUGAAAUAUCAUAUACAGAGACACGAAUUAUCUAUAACCUGAAUGAUUUGGAAAGAGAAAUGUGAGAUGUACGAAGGAAAAAGUGUUUCUUUAAAAUUAUAUUAUUUGUAUUAUCAUAUAAAAUAUCAAUAUUGCAACUAAUCGGUGAGAUAAAAUUCAAUCGCUUCUCUUUUUCUUCUCGUCAAAUCUUCUUUUCACGAUUUCGUAUCAAAUCUUUAUCCUAUUUUGGAGAAAGAAGAUUUGCAAAAAUCUAUCUUCUCACGCGUCGUUCUUAUAUGAUAUAUUUGUAGUACAAUAUGGGUCAACCCGAAUGCUCGCUUGAUGCCUUGUUCAUCGCAAGAGUUUCCUAGAUAGAAAACGCAGAUGGAAAAUAACUUCUCUCUUUCUCAAUAGAACGCUGAGAACAGAAUAAUGCAAAGCAUACAGACAAACGAUUCUUUACUUAUCUAACAUCAAAGAAAUGCGAACGUUUUAUUAUUAAAAAUCAACAAAGAAUAUCGUUUCAUAUGCUGUCCCAUAUAUUGUGCAGGCUAAAUUUAAUUAAUUUUAAUUGACAUAAAUUAACAAAACUGAUAAACAGUUAAGAGUAUGUAUAAACUUUUAUCCAUUGUAAUAAAUUUUCUUUAUUAUCUGGAAAUUUAUUGACAUGGAUAUCCCAUCGUUCGAGAUUUAAAACGAUCGUGUGUAUAAAAGAAUUAAUCAAAGGAGGGAUUAAUUAUUCGGGGGAAAAAAAUCGAUGAAAAAGAAAAUAACUAGCGACGACAGAGCUGUAAGUAGAACUUUGCUUUACUUGGCGGACGAUACACAGUAACGUAGACGAUAUAGGGCCAGACAUUGGACUUUCAUGAAGUCUCGUUAACCGGCGAAUCAAGCUUGAACUUUCUGCUUAUACAAUAAGUUCCGAAAUGCUGGAAUCUUGAUUGUUUUAAAGUACUCAUCCUUGUCGUGUAAUUUUGGCGGAACUUUGGCCGGAAUAAAAAUUAGCGUAACAUCAUGGACGUAAUUUGGAAUUUAGAAAUUAUUCCUGAUAUUUAAUGGAAUUAUCGUAUUAGUUUUAUAUAAAAGUUUAACAUAUUUCAUAAACAAAAUUUGUUUACUAUUAAAAUAUCGAAAGGAAUAUAUUGUUUUUUAACUGUAGCAGCCAUUGGAUAUUAAUUUUGACUAUAAAUAACCAUGUUUUAAAUUAAAUUCCUAUACAUUCAUUGGAUUAUUAUCAUUUUAUUAUUACUUUAUCGAUACACAUUUUAUUUUCUUCUUUUUCUUUAUAUAUGUAUUAAUAUCAUCCUUGCAAAUAAAUGCUUGGUAAUCUACAUACAUCCUUUAAUUUAACUAUUAUGCAAUUUCAAACGAAGAAUACUGAAGCCAAAAAAAUUUUCACAAUUUACAUGUAUCAUUUACAAGGCUACUAUCGGCAUCCUACGAAAAAAACAUCCAAGCAAAAACAGAAAUAAACUGGCUAUUUCCAUCGAUUACCUGGGGGUAAGCAACUUUCCCAGAAACGUUCAAGCUUGAAGUCAACAAAGUUCCCUUUUAGACGUGGAUAUCUCCGUUGCAUCCUCCUUUUCAAAUCCUACCCCAUUCUAAACUGCGCAUUGGGAGGGGAGGCUCGUGAAAAAACAUUCGAUCCGUCUUGCUUUAUUCGCGUCUCCUAUCGGCUUGGUAAACAGAAUGAUUCUGUCCUCUCUGUGCAAAGUAUCCCAGUUGUGAUUCUGUAACGCUUCUUCUCUCCCGUUGGAACGCGAAAAAACAACGAAUCAACAACAAUCAAGAGGAAAAAAACACGAUGCGUGCACGAAUAAGUGGAAUAAGUCAAAGAAACGCGGGAUGGCAGACGAAAUACACUUAUAAGUAUAUUUUUGAUCACACAAUUUUGCAAAUUAUUUAUUUCUAGCCAAAUUCUUAUGGAUAUAUUUAUUAAUAUUUAUAAUAAGUAUGCAGAUUGAUCGAUUUAUUAUUAAAUCCUUUAAAUAAUUAAUAUCAUAAUUAGUAACAAAUUUGUGAAGAAGCAGUGUUGUGAGAAUUAAUAAUCUGAAAUAGUUAAAUAAUUGAUAUGGUGAAUUAUGAGUACGAUUUCAAAGUCAGGAUUACUUAUGCAGGAUUAAAAUAAUAAAUUUUAUAUUAAUGAAUUAUAUUAAUUGAAACUUAUUAUAUAAAAAAAUUAAUAUGGUGAAUAUAUAUUGAUAAAUUCAAUUAUUUCUUUUUGUCAUUAUUGAUAAGACACGCACAAAAAUUGAUACACAAAAUAGAAUCCAUUAAUGAUCUCAUAAUCUUUUCUUAACCAACUGUUACGAUUAAAGGUUCUCAUAGACAAGAAUGUACUUCAAAGGUUUAUUUCUAAGACAGAAAAAUCUCUUUAGUCUUCCCUCUACUAUACCCAGCCGUUAAUCUAUAUCACGUUGAACAGAUAUUGGGUCGAGAUUUAUUCGAUUUCUCUUCUGCCAUCGUACAUGACAGGGAAAUGACCGUGCAUUUACUGUUUGCCGGGUGAUCUGUGUGGACGAUAGUGGAGAUAGUGAGAGGAAAAUUAAUGGAAAGUGGGAAUCGAUCGUAAAAUAUUGGAAUGGCCGGCGAGUUUUGUUGUUUCUCCUUUUUUUUUCUCUCUCCUCCCCUUUUUCCCUCCUCUUUUUUCGGGAAUAUAGUCUGCGAGGCGUAAAUCGUGGUGCAAAAAUAAAAAUUAAAGGUAAAAAUAUUGGAUUGAAAAUUUUCUUUGGUGGAGGGAAAAUGGAUUUGAAUAUCAAUUGGAUACGUGUAUAUCGAAUUGGUUACGGAUUUCAAUACAGGUUUAAUUGAUACAGGGCUUAUGCGAUACAACAACACCUAUCUAGUUACGUAUUUAUUUAUUCUUAAAGUUUUGAGAAUAAAUAAACGUGAUUUAAUCUUGCUAAAAUUAUAUUAUUUAUUAAUAUUAGAUUAUUUUUAACGUUACAAAUCAACAAUAAUUUUUCCCAAAAGGGCCUAUAUGUAUAUUUUUUUUAAAUAAAAUAUAUAUAAUUCAUCAUUUUGAUAAGUGUGAUUAGCCUUCCAUUAUUAAUUUCUGCUAUACGUAUAUCACAAAUUACAACAGAAUAUGUACCUAUUCGUACAUUUAUUCCAUAUAUAUAUAUAUAUAUAUAUUAGUUAUCACCAUUCCAACUAAUUUCAAUUAAUUCCCACGUGUACGAGAAUAAAAACCAACCAUGAGAAAGAAUUAUAUUUGGCAGUUAAAAUUUGAACAGUUAAAACUCACUAAUUAUUCCCAAUUACGAGCAAAUCUUCGUCAAUUCUUCCUUCGAAAACUCGUUGUUGUUCUCGUUCACUUCCGACUCGUCGUCGUUUCGAAUUUAAAAUUUUUUUCAAAAAAAUGAAAAAGCAUCGAGAGAAAAAACAACAUUGAAGAAGCAUUCAAUAAAUUACAAACGAGGCCUCGGUUUAAUUCCAGCGACUCCUAACCCAAUAUUUAUUCUCAAUUAAAGCGGUUGACAACGUCUCGAAAAGUUGACGAGCGAAACUUGCGAGCUCGUUUGCGCGUUCAUUUACAUUUGACACCCUACUUUAACACGUUCGAUCGCGGAAAUUUGCAAGAGAAAGGGAGAGAGGAAGGGCAAGAAGCAUCUCUCCUCGACGAGAUGUAUAAAAAAGUAGAAGCAAGAUUUCAAUUCGUGGCGUCGAGAUAAGUUGAGAGCGAUUCUCAAUGAAAAAUGAUAACAUCGAUCGAUUCAGAUAUUAAUUGGAAAUGCCAAAUGAAAAUUUCGUGAUUUUAUUUUGAAACAGAGUUGCUAUAGAACUCUGUAUCGUUGUUAAGAAUGUGAAUACAUUGAUAAAAUUUUUUUUUUCUAGCUUCUCAGAGUAAUUUUUCAAUGGAUAUAUUCAGAGCAGAGAGAAAGUUACGAAAAAUAUCACAGAGAGCAAGUUUCGAGAGUUUUACUUUCAAAAUGAGUUAUACAUCUCUCGUAUAACUUGGAUCGUUAAAUAAAUUUUGUAUAUCUUUUUUUUUUUUAAAUAAUGCUUCCUUUCCUCCCCUUUUUCUUUCUAAUUAAAAUUAUAAGUAUCAGAGUAAAUGAUCUACUGCCAGAGAUUUCAGAGAAAGUUGGAUUUCACCUGCAAUUAGAGGCAAGGUUGUACUUGUCGACCUGAUUUUCAUCGUGUUUUAUCGUGAUUUUUUAAAGGUAUAUCCUGCUCUCAGAAAGAGAGAGAGAGAUAGAUCAAAAUUGCAGAAGAAAAUCAGUUUUAUAAAUUUUUCCACCGCGUUACAAUCAAUUUUAAUUUAACUCUUCCAUUGACUUUCGUUAUGUAAAAUGGAAAAUAAAAUUGGAAAUUACGCUUAUCCUAUUUUUUUCAAAAAUACAAAAUAACCGAAGAGAAUGAAUAGAAAAUUGGCGUGAUAAAAUAUGAUAAGUCGCCGCUAUCACGCUAUCAUUUAUAAAGGACAAAAGUUAGUUAAUGAUCUGAUAUACAUGGGUUGUUUGCGUGAAUUCGUGAGAUUAAACUGGGUCAAUUUGGUAUUUCGCCACGUGGGCGGGGAUGCCACUUCGUUAUGCACGAAUGUGUUUCCUCUUCUUGAGGAGGAAAGAGUUCUUUUUCGGUUAAUAAACGGUCUGCCACGAGCUGCGUUGUUAUCUCGAUCGCAAAAACGAAAUUUUAACGGGGAUUUUAACUCCUCCGUUCAUAGUGGUGAGUUAUCGAUUGUCAGACUUAACCUUCGAGGAAAGAGAUGGGUGAUUUUUGUUUGCUGCUUCGAGUGAUUUUCAGAUGCGAGCUCAAUUUUCCGCGUGGUCUGGUUUAUCGAAUAUAUUAUCUUAUAUUUCUGACUGUAUUACUUUGUACUGAUUUGUGCUCCCUUUAUGAAUAUUUAUUAUUGUUACGAACAUCUUAUUGAACAUUAUAUAUAUCCUCUAUAUAUUUUAAAUAUAUUUAUGUUUUGUAUCUUUAUUUUUUAGAUGUUGUAGAGAAAUUAGAGAAUUGAGAAUGAGAGCACGAAUAUUUUUCUUUUAUUUUUAUUCUAACUGUAAGGAAAGAGGAGGAAAAAAACUUAAUUCGAUUUUAAAGUGAAAAUUAUUGCAAAUUAUCGUGCGAAACAUUUGUAAAUAUUAUACAUCACGUAACAUCAAGACACGAAUCUUUAGAAUAAAUUUAAGACGACAACAAACAGAACAAAUCUAACAAGAACAGAUUCGAUUGAUUCGAUGUUUAAAAAUGUUCAAGGAGACAAAACAUCUCUCUCUAUUCAAAAUAUUAAAGAUAACUAUCAAAAUCAACAAUGUGUGCAGAGAUAUUACUAAAAAAAAAAAAAAAAAAUUAAAAGAACAAAGAACGCAUUAAAGAAGCCUGAACUUCGUACAACUUUGUAGUAAAGCGUUAAUCAGGCGCAGAUCACAAUAGGUUGGCCACUCAUCGCCAGGACACGCCGUCAAAAAUUUAUUGCGGUUGAUUUGCAUAAACGCGGCCGCAUAAUUCAAUGGGAAUCCGUAUCAAAGACCGGCGGGGAAAUAAUGGAGAUAUACGAGAUACUCGUCACGAGGACGCGGUUCAUCACUUCCUCCAGUUUCAAGGGAAUAAAUUUCCCGCUCGUCAAGCCCGCAGAUUCACGACAUAAAUCGCGCAUUCAGCGAAUACAGCGCCAAUGGUUGGAAGGGAGAGAGAAAAAAAAAAGAGGAAGGGAAAAAAGCAACGAUCGAACGAUAUCGUGCAGACCAGAAACCGACCGCGAAUCGAUUGGAUUGGCUAAGAACGUUCCCUUAGGGGAAAAUUGGACACGAGAUUGGAGGAGAGUACGAGAGCUAUACACAUAUUUCAUCGCGGAGUGAUUCUUGGAAUUUAUUUCGAUGGAAUAUUCGUUUAUACCUCGUUCGAUCGAUCCAGACCUGUUAUUAUUAAUUUUUGUUAAUUAAGAAGCGGACGAGUUGAAGAGUGAAAGGUAAAUUAAAAUUGUAGCUAUUAUAAUUUGUCUAAAAUUUAGAAAUAAUUUUUAUUUAUUCGUGUACGAUUAAAAAUAUUUUAGGAUAUUUUCAGUAUCGAUUAUAUAAAUUUAUUUUGAGAUUAUGAUAGUUUCUCUACAUCAUCGUGUAAAACGAUUACGAAUUAAUUGUCCCACUUCUGUAAUGAUAUUCGAAGCAGUUACAAUUUGUAAUGGCGUUAGAGUUGAAUUAAAUCGUGCAGCUCUCGCAUCUGGACUGCAAUUUCCUCGUAUCAUAAGAUGGAAACGGUGACAGGUGAGAAUCUGUUUGAGACAUUGACAUAUGAGACAAGGGAACUCUUCCAUUUUUUUUUUAUUUCCGACCAUUUGGCGCUCGUGUCUCUUAGUGAAUUUGCUUCUUCAGGACACGCAUCAAGAUUUAUUAUAAUCUUUUUUAAAAUUCAUAUAAAAAGAGAUUGAAAACAAAUUAAAGCAACGUUACAAAUUUACAACGAGAUGAAUUAAAGGAACAAAUUUUGGAAAUCUUUGGAGAGAAACAAUGAUAUUUAUACGUGGUAUUUGAAAUAUUUUCUAGAUAAGAAAUAAUAAUACAACAUAAAUAUAUAACCAAAUAAUGAAAAGAAACGUGAUACGUUCGAUCAUAAAAAAAAGAAGGCACGAAGAAAACUCUACGAAUCAAAAUUGACAAAUUCGAAAUUAGUUUCGACGAACAAUUUGAAAGAUAAUUUGAAAGAUUGUUGCUUCACAACAAUCCUUUACCAUUCAUUGCAAUUAUAUCUCCAGCCAGUGAGAAUUGAACAAUUUAAGAGCUGUCGACGAGAUCCUAAUCGUGGUAAUCCACGUGAUACAGCCUGUCUCGUAACUAAUGCAAGAGGCGAUGGAUUUCGAGGCUGCCAAACAGGUUGAUCGAUAAAUCCAUAGGCGAGCCGAGAGUGGCCUAUUGUUAGCUCCUUUGACAUUAUGUUGAUUCACCAACGUGGGGUCAUAAUCGGCGGUAACCAAGCGCACCUGUGCGUCCUUUCAACCCUGUCUGCCAAUCGUCCAAAGAUUCCACGAAAGCUUCUCCAAACCGGCGCCCAUUGUUACUCCCAACGAACCAGAAAUAGGGUGCACUUUAAGGGUGCACGCGCCAUUAUCGAACCGUAUUCAUUGUUGGAGAAACUUAUCGUGCAUGCACACUGUGUAAAUAUAUGUAUGUACGUAUAUAUACGUGAAGCAGAACAUAUUGUGAGCAGAUUUAUCAAUUUCCUGUUGGCUCGAGCCGCCCCAACGAUUUUUAACUUUCCAAAUAUGGGGCGAGGGAUUCGAUGAUCGAAACGAAUAUUUCUUUACAUCUAUACUUUAAAUCGGGUGUAAUAUAUUCAUUCGUUUAAUUUGAAAUUGCGUAAUAAACACUGUCGCGUUAUAUUGCCAAGAGGAAUAACUUUCUAACCCGAAACUCUAUUUGUAGAUAAAUCAACGUAUCAACCCCCAAAGGCUCGUAAAGUAAGUUUCUUUUGUAACUGGCGAAUGCAAAUGCGGCAACGUCAUGAGAGAGGGUCGGUUUUGCAUUCACGCGCAACUUGCAGAACGCAAAUAUACGCCGAAUAUACAGGGGGAACAAUAAUUAUCCGGUUGAUGCAUAGUUCUGGAGGAGAGUAUAAUUUGAAACUGGUUGGCACAGGUUGCGAUUCUCCAUUGUGAAUCGUCGAGCCUCCAUCGGAGGAAUUCCGCGGUAUUAUAUGCGUUCACUCGUGAUUCUCUCUUUGUUAUCUAUCGGGUUUUUUCCAAUUCGAUUGGCAAAGUUAUGCUUCCAUCAUUGAAAGAAUAAGAGAUAGCAUAACACAACGUUUUCCAUUUUGGUGAUACCGCUUUAGAGGAUUUAUUAAUUUUUGUUUUCUUCCGUGCGAUGGAUUUAUCUCUUUCUGAGAGGGGAUCAAAAAGAGUGUGCAAUGAAGGGGAGAUGAUUGAUUUUGAAUUUGCAUUGAAGUCGAGGGAAAAUAAAAGAAUUAUAUCGUAAUAUUUAUUUAUUUUAAUUUCUUUGUGAUUCUUUGAGAUGAAAAGAAUUCUAUUCUUUCCUUUUAUUGAUAUAUCCAUGAUUUAUAUAGAUCGGGAAUUUAUUUUAAGUAUUCGUAUUUGUUUCAUGGAUAAAGUAUGCAAAAGAGGAAUUAUAUUUUAAAAGCUAUAAAUAAAACAGAUUUAUAGUAAAUAUAAUAGUUUGAAAUAGAAGCUUAAAAUAGAAGAAGCAUUAAGCAUUACAUUAUCGCCAUCAAUAAAUAUUUUUAUCAUUUAUUCAACCGAUACAGAAUUGAAAAAAAGACCAUAGCGUUAAAUCUCUUAUAGUGUUUAAAACCUUUAAUGGGGAUUAGAUAAGUCGGUUUAUAGCCAUUGAAAAAAGUAAUUCCGACAAAUCCUAUUUUAAAGUAUAGUAGCAAUGUAAAUCAAUGAAUAUUUCUCAAGAAAAUUUCGAAUAAAAUAAUUUUAUGAAUUCAAAUAGAUAUUUAAUUCUUAAUUUUUAUAAUUCUUAUUUGAAACAAAUUGAUUAGAGAGAGAGAGAGAGAGAGAAGAAUACUAUUAUCUUAGAUGAGAAAAUAAUGAUAAUGGAAAAUGGGAUGUACUGUGUUAAAAUACGACACGAAGACCAGGAAAUGCUGAAACGAAAUAGGGUAAUUGAAUGAUCCUACUGAAAUAUUCAAGUGUUGAAGUACUCUGCUAAACGUAUUCGUGUUAAAUGUAAUGAAGAUUCUAGAUGAAAAUGCGAAGAAGGUGCAAAUUCGAGGGAAAUGUGGAUAAAUUAAAAAGAAUUUUUUUUCAACAUGAAUAUGAUUAAAAAUUUUUUAGAAAAACAACACAAAGAAGGAGUAUUAACACAAAUUCGAAUAAUAAUGUUCGUAAAUUUUCGUAGAGGAAAUAAUAUACUUGAAAUGGAAAUUAAAAAAAAUUUGUUUUGAAAAAAUGUUCUUUUUUUUCACUCAUGAUCCUCAGUAUUGUGAAAGUAGAAUUUAAUUAAAAAAAUUUUCGCGUAUCUGCAUAUUUAUAAUUUUAUUAAAUUGGAAAAAAAAUAAUAACAAGCACGAAAGAUAAUUUUUAUUUAAUAAAUUUAUGAUGCUUAUAAUUUAUUUUAUACAAAUAAUAAGUUAUAACACAAGCUCCAAUAUGUUACAUGUUCUGUUGAAUUGUACAAUCUACAUUCUGUUAUAAUUCAUAUUCUAAUAUGAAUUAUAUUAAAAAAUAUUAAAAGAAUGAACAAUAUAUCAAAAUUUCUACAAAUAUCCAUUAUUCAUUAAAAUACAAGUUGCAAAAGGUAAUGUAAAAAUAUAAUAUUAUUGGAAAUACAUUUC
Molecule: long non-coding RNA, 15652 nt
Organism: Apis cerana (Asiatic honeybee)
Lineage: Eukaryota; Metazoa; Arthropoda; Insecta; Hymenoptera; Apidae
Source: RefSeq, a predicted model, not a curated record